This 497-nucleotide ribosomal RNA is filed under the name uncultured bacterium. Its description in RNAcentral is "partial 16S ribosomal RNA". It matches the Rfam family "Bacterial small subunit ribosomal RNA", at positions 28 to 507 of the family's 1533-position model. The record is from RNAcentral.
GAUGAACGCUGGCGGCGUGCCUAAUACAUGCAAGUCGAGCGAACGGACGAGAAUCUUGCUUCUCUGAUGUUAGCGGCGGACGGGUGAGUAACACGUGGAUAACCUACCUAUAAGACUGGGAUAACUUCGGGAAACCGGAGCUAAUACCGGAUAAUAUUUUGAACCGCAUGGUUCAAAAGUGAAAGACGGUCUUGCUGUCACUUAUAGAUGUAUCAGCGCUGCAUUAGCUAGUUGGUAAGGUAACGGCUUACCAAGGCAACGAUGCAUAGCCGACCUGAGAGGGUGAUCGGCCACACUGGAACUGAGACACGGUCCAGACUCCUACGGGAGGCAGCAGUAGGGAAUCUUCCGCAAUGGGCGAAAGCCUGACGGAGCAACGCCGCGUGAGUGAUGAAGGUCUUCGGAUCGUAAAACUCUGUUAUUAGGGAAGAACAUAUGUGUAAGUAACUGUGCACAUCUUGACGGUACCUAAUCAGAAAGCCACGGCUAACUACGUG